AGUACUACCUCCGUCCCGGUGUAUAAGUCAUUCGCGUAGUUCUAGGUCGAUAAUUUAACUAUCUAAAUAUGUAUUAUAUGUGACAAAAAUAUAUAUUUAAAAACUACAUCCGUGUGGAAAUCUAGUGGUAUACUUUUCAUGACAUAUAACACAUAUUUAAUUCCUUAAAUCGAUGACCUAGAACUACGCGAAUGACUUAUACACCCGGACGGAGGGAGUA
Molecule: ribosomal RNA, 220 nt
Filed under: Triticum aestivum (bread wheat)
Lineage: Eukaryota; Viridiplantae; Streptophyta; Magnoliopsida; Poales; Poaceae
Description: partial small subunit ribosomal RNA
Source: RNAcentral